This 445-nucleotide ribosomal RNA is filed under the name uncultured bacterium. RNAcentral's name for it is "partial 16S ribosomal RNA". It matches the Rfam family "Bacterial small subunit ribosomal RNA", at positions 354 to 796 of the family's 1533-position model. The record is from RNAcentral.
GUGAGGAAUAUUGCGCAAUGGAGGCAACUCUGACGCAGCCAUGCCGCGUGCAGGAAGAAGGCGCUACGCGUUGUAAACUGCUUUUAACCGGGAAGAAACCCCAGGACGUGUCCUGGGUUGACGGUACCGGAGGAAUAAGCACCGGCUAACUUCGUGCCAGCAGCCGCGGUAAUACGAAGGGUGCAAGCGUUAUCCGGAUUCAUUGGGUUUAAAGGGUGCGUAGGCGGAGCGUUAAGUCAGUGGUGAAAUCCUGCAGCUUAACUGUAGACUUGCCAUUGAUACUGGCGCUCUUGAGUGCGCUUGAAGUGGGCGGAAUGUGCCGUGUAGCGGUGAAAUGCUUAGGUAUGGCACAGAACACCAAUUGCGAAGGCAGCUCACUAAGGCGAUACUGACGCUGAGGCACGAAAGCGUGGGGAUCGAACAGGAUUAGAUACCCGAGUAGUCC